CUAUGCUGGCAUUAUUUCUUGAAAGAUUUCAAGAUCCUCUAAUCGGAUACAAGACAAUAUCAGUUGCAGUUUCAAUGGUAAUUGUCUAAUAAUACACCUCGAUGUUGCAGUUUGUUUGUUUUUGCUAACGUCUACAAUGUACUUGUGAUGUGUCGGCUCUACUCUUUUAUGUAUACUUAGCGAAGCUUCUUCAUGCUUUAUUUUUCAGGCACUUCCAAUAGAGAAGCCUCCUCGACCACAGGCAGACUGUUCUCGUUGUUGGUAUUCCCAUGAAAAUUGAUGGUUCAAUAAAAAACAGAUAUCGUCUCUGUUUUCCUCUGUUAUAUCUGCUUGAUUCAUCGGCCUGAGCAUUUUUAACCUUGUAUUCAUCUGAGAUUUUCUUUGGAUCAUCCCAAUCAUAAGCUUCUGAGAUCAAGAAGAUCGAUCUUUGCGGCAAACAUAUUCAUGGAUAAGAAUCUGUGCAAGAAACUAACUUAUAAAGAGAGUGAAGAUGAAGGUUUAGUAAGGUUAGAAAUACUUAGCUUGAUUUGAAACAACGUCACCUCAAGAAGUUUAUCUACGACUUGUUCAAUGUAAGAUUUUUAUUUAUUUGAGGUAGCAGAGCGUCAUGGAGGAUUUUGAUUGGCUAAAGAUGAAGGCGAUUGAUGGCGCCUCUUCAUCUUUCUCUGAUGAAGACGAUUGAUCAUCUUCAUCUUCCUCUGGUGAAGGCGAUUGGCGGCGCCUCUACAUCUUCCUCUGAUGAAGGCGAUUGAUGGCGCCUCUUCAUCUUUCUCUGAUGAAGACGAUUGAUCAUCUUCAUCUUCCUCUGGUGAAGGCGAUUGGCGGCGCCUCUA
RNAcentral lists this unclassified non-coding RNA (833 nucleotides) under Hevea brasiliensis (rubber tree). Lineage: Eukaryota; Viridiplantae; Streptophyta; Magnoliopsida; Malpighiales; Euphorbiaceae. The record is from RNAcentral.